This 545-nucleotide unclassified non-coding RNA is filed under the name Hevea brasiliensis (rubber tree). Lineage: Eukaryota; Viridiplantae; Streptophyta; Magnoliopsida; Malpighiales; Euphorbiaceae. The record is from RNAcentral.
AUGAGCCUAGCAUGUCUUGUAUGCCAUAGUGUCGAAAGUCCAUCGCACUCUUUUAGAAGCUACUCGGUCUCAAGUUCUGACAAUGAAGGAAGGUGUUCUGCUAUUGCAAACUGCUUAGCCAGGAAGUUUCCUCUUCCCCCUCCAAGAGCAACUAUUGCAUCAACAUCCAAAGUGACCCCACAACCAACCAAUACGAGUCAUGAAAUGACGGGACCCCCAAGACUGGUCCGGAGCCGUGCUGUGAGACGGGAUCUUGUGAGAGAUUGGAAUUUUGAUGGGGCAGCGAUGGAGAGUUAGAUGCUUUAAAAAAAGUGCAGGGUUAUCCACUAGUGUGAUAGUAUUAGAGCUUUAUUUAGCUGUUCUCUAGAUUGUUUCUAUUAUGGGUGCAAUUGAACUCACUUUUCCACUUGAAGAGCUGGAGCAUUUGUGACCAUUGUAGGAAAGUUUAACGUGAAACAAUGUUCAUAUAUUUUUUUUCUCUUUCCAAAUACCAUUUCUAAUCAUCUUUCCUUGGCAAAGUUGAAUUUUAGUCCAAUGUAGCCCCG